Molecule: long non-coding RNA, 522 nt
Organism: Lolium rigidum
Lineage: Eukaryota; Viridiplantae; Streptophyta; Magnoliopsida; Poales; Poaceae
Exons: 2
Source: RefSeq, a predicted model, not a curated record
CAGCUAACCGAAAUUUGUUUGGGCUGUUCGGUCAGCUCGAGAUGGAGACCGAUGCGACCGAAGCGACCGAAUUUUCUUCGCAGAGAAAGGAAUUAGUCCCGCGUCCAGCCCAUUGAGGCCCAGUUUUGGAGUCUUACCUAUUCGUGUCUUCUCACUUCUUUCCUCCCUGACCUAGCCCACAGGCAGAGGAGAGACGACAUGCCCUUGCGCCGCGUCGCGCCGCCGCCACAGCUCAAGCCCGAUCGCCGGCAGCUGCAAGCUCUGCGCCACACCACCUGGACGCCAGCCCACCAUCCUCACGGACUCACAGUCAUGGUCCAGUUUGUAGAUCCCUGCCACCACAGCCACGAUGACAAGAAUCCCAGUAUGAGCUGAACCAAUAUUGUACAUGAGGAUGUGCUGAACCAAUUUUUUAUAUACUUGUACUGUCAUUUUGUACUGCAAAUGUAAAAGGAAUGACAAGUGAAUUACUUGUUUAGUUUUUGUACCGCAAAUCAUAAAUUGAAGUGCUUGUAAUGAUCA